Molecule: non-coding RNA, 144 nt
Organism: Gossypium raimondii (Peruvian cotton)
Lineage: Eukaryota; Viridiplantae; Streptophyta; Magnoliopsida; Malvales; Malvaceae
Source: Rfam
UGUUAAAACUUUCGUUCAUUUGCAUUGUUAAAAAUUAGUAUGACUGAUGGAAAAAUUAGAUAGUGACAUGUGGUAUACCUGUGCACCUCAUAUUGAUGUACAAAUAUCAAUUUUUAACAAUAGAAGUUGAUGGAACUUUUAACA